Molecule: small RNA, 115 nt
Filed under: Marmota monax (woodchuck)
Lineage: Eukaryota; Metazoa; Chordata; Mammalia; Rodentia; Sciuridae
Source: RNAcentral
GCUGGGUUUGGUGGUGAACACCUUUAGCCCCUGCUACUUGGGAGGUGAGACAGGAGAUCAGCUGAGCCCAGGAGUUCGGGGCCAGCCUGAGAAACAUAGGGAGACCCUGCCUCUU